UUUUUUAAUUGGAGGCUGGAAUGAAUGGUUGAGACUGAGAGGAGUGUUUUAUUUUAUGAAUUUGAAUUUAAAUUAAAAAUAAAAAUGUUUUUAUAAAUUCUUGGGACGAGAAGACCCUAGAAGCUUAAAAUUUUAAGAUUUUUGGUUGGGGCAAUUUUUGAAGAGAAAGAUUUUUAUUAGAAUAAAAUUUGAUGAUAAAGUUACUCUAGGGAUAACAGCGUUAUUUAAUUGAUAAGUUCUUAUUAAUAGUUAAGUUUGCGACCUCGAUGUUGAAUUAAUU
This 280-nucleotide ribosomal RNA is filed under the name Serracutisoma pseudovarium. RNAcentral's name for it is "partial large subunit ribosomal RNA". The record is from RNAcentral. Lineage: Eukaryota; Metazoa; Arthropoda; Arachnida; Opiliones; Gonyleptidae.